This is a long non-coding RNA of Scatophagus argus, 3282 nucleotides long. RefSeq lists it as uncharacterized. The transcript is spliced from 4 exons. NCBI's taxonomy places the organism in Eukaryota, Metazoa, Chordata, Actinopteri, Scatophagidae. The record is from RefSeq and is a predicted model, not a curated record.
ACCAAAACAAAGGAGACCAUCUGAUAACCAUUUUAUUCAUAUAUCUUUUUUAUAUACUUUUUCUCAGCUGAGACUCGGGUUGUUGUUUUUUGUUAUUGAGCUACGGUGGCCGACAAGUACAAACGCGCUGCAUAUAAGUAAACAAAUGUAUAAAGAAAACGCCGCAUAUCCAGUCAUACAACGGAAGUGCUCCAGGCCUCUAGGGGCAGUGCUGAGCUUCCACCCGCCGGACAGACAUGGCGUGCUGCGUUUUCUUUUUGUAUUUGUGUCUUAUUUGCAACGCGUUUCUGUAUGUGCAGCGCGUUUGUACUCGUCGGCCACCGUAUUGAGCCCAAGAUAAGUUAAUAAGCUGAAGUUAUUAGAAAACUGAAGACUGAAACCAGGGAGCAUUUAAUUUUUAUUCUUUCUAACAGAAUGCACUAAUUUCUUUUAGAAUAUUGAAAUAUUCUGUUUUUUGUUCUACAUCCAGCUGGGUGUCACUUUAAUUCUGUGGUAUACCUGAGUUAUUUAUAUUAUAUAAAAUAAUUUUCUGUUUCAUAAGUCUGUGGUCCUGUGAUCAUUGAGCUUGAAUCUGAAAAGCUGAAAAUCAUUCUGACCUGUCAGAUCCCUGGAGAUCCCUGACAUAAGCCCUAGAGUUAGAUACUGUAGAUAUUACACCCAGGGUCAGCAGCAUAGAUCUCUUUUAUAGAGAAGGACACACAUUCAGGUUACAUUUGCAUGUUUCAUGUUCAGUUCUGAGGUUGAUGGGGACUUCCAGGUGUUUAACCUGUACUGGGUUGUCACCUUGGACGUGGUCUUAAAGGUCGCUGACACUUUGUGCCUCAUGUGAGUCGUCACGGUCAUGAGCCAAGGUGGGAGCGGCUCUGCUUUGUCCUGAGGUUUGUGUGUGUCUGUGCGUGUGCCCUGUGACCGACUGGGGGUCCAGUCCAGGCUGAACCCGCCUCUCGAUAGGCUCCACCCCCCCGUCACCCUGACGGUUCAGAAAACAGAUGGGAGGACGAUGUGGACGUCAGGAUCAAAGUACAGGAAACCAACACGACGUCCCGAAGACUUGAUGCUGCUGGACUCAACUCACAAGCUGAUGUGAUCUGCGAUCGAUGGACGUGACGGCAGACGUCAGAGCGAAUCGGAAACUCGGAAACGGCUGGCGAGCAGACAGGAAGCAUGACUGUGUAAGUGUUUUAGUUUAAUUAUGAUUCUGCUGAGAUCAUAAUCAUCAGUACCAGACUGCUGUCUGUCAAACAACUUCUUACAAUUUAAAAUGAGAAACAAUCUCGUCGUUCUCUACAACUCAUGAGAUUGUUCUUUCAUUCAUCGUGUUCUUGUGAUCAGGAGGGUUUCGUCCUGACGGGGAGACGUCUUCGCUGUCCGCCUGGACGGUUUCUGACGGACACAAACGACCUGAGACGAUCACGUAGAGACGCCUCGUCAUCCAAAAGGCAAUAAAAUCAGAAUCGGUGAAAUGUUUUAGAAGGUGAAUUAAACCAACGAGCAGAUCUUGUUGAUCCAUUCUCUGGAUGAAGCUCCACGGCGCCCCCCAGCGGCAGAGCAGGAACCCUGCAGAGCGUCCUGACAAACGUCCUGCAGCAGCAAGGAGCAAAACAAAAAGAAAAGUCAAUCGACUCGAGUGGAGGGAAAAGAAAGAUGAAACGAUGAGAGCAGUGGACGAAAAGCUGAGACGCCAGAAAGGGGUGAAGGGGCUGAUGGGAAAUAAACGGGGAGUUAAAUGACAUGCUGUUAAAGCUCAAACGUGCAAAGUUUUGCUUUAUGUGUCUCCGCCUUCCUCCACAUCGACAGACGCCGCCUGAGACUGAAACCCCACCUGCCGUCAGCGUUCACCUUACAAGACAAGAGGGGGGACCCACAAACAAAAUGAUAAAAUCUGAAAAUCUGAUUCGUCUCUUCUCGUCUUCUUCUUCUUCUUCUCCCGCCUUAAACAUUAAGGAGCUGUACCGUGUUGAGUGUGAUGUCAUCAUACUUCCUGUGUGCUUUGCUCUGCUGGUGAGGAAACCCACCAGUGGAGUCUUAUUCAGGCAGAGCAGGGAGGUGAGGAGGGAGGAGGGAGGAAGAGGGGUGAGGAGGGGGGGAGGGGCGAGGAGGGGGGAGGGGCGAGGCUGCCGUCCGCAGGUUCUCAUUCCAAAAUAAAACAAACUCGGUGUGAAGAGAGAAGCCCGUGCUGAUCCUCAUAACUUCUCCUUGGACUGGACCCAAAUGAAGGGACCCGACUGCUCCUCGAUGAUCUGCUUCACCUGCUCGUAGAUCUCCUCCAGAGUGUCGCCCUGCACGAUGGCUGGAAGGACCAGAGACAAACAGGAAGUCAGCGAUCAGAAACUGAACAAUGAAACGAGUCUGCUGACACUUCUGAUCAUCGCACACACACAGCAGCCACAGACAGGAGAUUUGGGUUUGAUGAAGAUGGCGAUGGGGUGAAGCUGGGCCAGCUGGAGCCUCUUGAUGGCGUUCCCCGACACGUCCAGGAUACAGUGUUUACCCUGCACACCACAGAAGAACAACACGUUUAUCAUCACCAACAUCUUCUGUGUUCGACGAGCAACCUGUGGACGAUUCUCUCAAAGUCAAGUCUGUCUCGUGUUGCUUUAAAAUGGAAGCUGCUCAGAGCUCUGAACGUCAGUCGUCUCUGAGACACGAGACUCGUCCAAACUACAGCUGAGUGAGCAGUCAGAGUCCCACGGUGGUCUCCUGUGGACCUCAGAGACUCAGAUUGACCCUCAGUCCCUGAUGUCGUUGGUGUUGUGUACCUUCUCGGCCACCUCUCGGACCGACUGGACGCUGGUUCCGUACAGGUGGUUGUUGUACUGUCCCGCCUCGAUGAACCUGUGGUCCUGGAUGUCCUUCUCCAUCUGCUCUCUGGACACCACAAAGUGGUAGUCCCUGCCGUCCACCUCGUAGUCUCGCUUCGGCCUGGUCGUAUCUGUGAGAGGAGGACGACAAACGCUCGUCAGUUUGUCUCCAAGAAGAAUUAAGACGUGUCUUCAAAGGGAGCAGAGCCGGCCCUACCCACUGUGACGCCACGGGCAACAUUUUAUAUGGCCCCCCCAUCAGCAAUGUACAUUGUUUUUACAAUUGUCUUUAAUUUAUGUCACCCAAUUUACAUGCUUAACAAAUUACAAAAGAAUACAAAAAAAAAAAAUCUGAAAUACAAUAUAAAUACCCUUACCACAAAAUAAAUAAUGUUAUCUAUCUCUAUAUUAUGUAAAAUAUGAUAUAAUAUAUAAUUAAUUGUAUUUAAUAAAAUUAACUGGGCAUUGCUUUACAUUUGAA